AAUCUUCCACAAUGGGCGAAAGCCUGAUGGAGCAACGCCGCGUGAGUGAAGAAGGCUUUCGGAUCGUAAAACUCUUUUCUAAGGGAAGAACAAGUACAGUCGUAACUGGCUGUACCUUGACGGUACCUGAUUAGAAAGCCAUGGCUAACUACGUGCCAGCAGCCGCGGUAAUUCGUAGGUGGCAAGCGUUGUCCGGAAUUAUUGGGCGUAAAGCGCGAGCAGGCGGUCCUUUAAGUCUGAUGUGAAAGCCCACGGCUCAACCGUGGAGGGUCAUUGGAAACUGGGGGGCUUGAGUGCAGAAGAGGAAAGUGGAAUUCCAAGUGUAGCGGUGAAAUGCGUAGAGAUUUGGAGGAACACCAGUGGCGAAGGCGACUUUCUGGUCUGUAACUGACGCUGAGGCGCGAAAGCGUGGGGAGCAAACA
This 422-nucleotide ribosomal RNA is filed under the name uncultured bacterium. RNAcentral's name for it is "partial 16S ribosomal RNA". It matches the Rfam family "Bacterial small subunit ribosomal RNA", at positions 360 to 774 of the family's 1533-position model. The record is from RNAcentral.